RNAcentral lists this long non-coding RNA (275 nucleotides) under Manihot esculenta (cassava). Its description in RNAcentral is "long non-coding RNA (MESC_LNC004978)". The record is from RNAcentral. Lineage: Eukaryota; Viridiplantae; Streptophyta; Magnoliopsida; Malpighiales; Euphorbiaceae.
CAGAUCUCAAAGAAAAAGUUAGUAGUAAUAAAAUUUAAUAAAUGUUAAAAUAAACAACGAGGGCAGGAAAAUGAAGAUUAAAAGACUGUCAAGAUAUUCUUGAACCAGCUGGGUCUUUUUUUUCAGCUAGGUUAUUCAGCUGGGUUAUUGUAAAUCUCCAGCUUUCUUUUCGCAUAAGCUUUCAUACCUCCAUGUGGAUCUCAAUGGGUGGAUUUAGGAACUCCGGUGACGAAAAGAUCUCCUUCGUUCCCACAGACGGCGCCAUUUGAUAACUC